RNAcentral lists this ribosomal RNA (491 nucleotides) under uncultured bacterium. RNAcentral's name for it is "partial 16S ribosomal RNA". It matches the Rfam family "Bacterial small subunit ribosomal RNA", at positions 29 to 507 of the family's 1533-position model. The record is from RNAcentral.
AGUGAACGCUGGCGGUAGGCCUAACACAUGCAAGUCGAACGGCAGCACAGUAAGAGCUUGCUCUUACGGGUGGCGAGUGGCGGACGGGUGAGGAAUACAUCGGAAUCUACUUUUUCGUGGGGGAUAACGUAGGGAAACUUACGCUAUACCGCAUACGACCUACGGGUGAAAGCAGGGGAUCUUCGGACCUUGCGCGAUUGAAUGAGCCGAUGUCGGAUUAGCUAGUUGGCGGGGUAAAGGCCCACCAAGGCGACGAUCCGUAGCUGGUCUGAGAGGAUGAUCAGCCACACUGGAACUGAGACACGGUCCAGACUCCUACGGGAGGCAGCAGUGGGGAAUAUUGGACAAAGGGCGCAAGCCUGAUCCAGCCAUACCGCGUGGGUGAAGAAGGCCUUCGGGUUGUAAAGCCCUUUUGUUGGGAAAGAAAAGCAGCAGGUUAAUACCCCGCUGUUCUGACGGUACCCAAAGAAUAGGCACCGGCUAACUUCGUG